Molecule: unclassified non-coding RNA, 680 nt
Filed under: Hevea brasiliensis (rubber tree)
Lineage: Eukaryota; Viridiplantae; Streptophyta; Magnoliopsida; Malpighiales; Euphorbiaceae
Source: RNAcentral
AAAGACAAUGGAUAGACAUAUCUUCUCGGAUUUUGAAAUACCAGCCGGAUCUUUUUCUGUCUUUAUGGUAAUCACUCUAGUAAUGUGGAUUGCCUUUUAUGAUCGUGCUCUCGUGCCAAUAAAGGCCAGAUAUACAGGACAGCCAGGAGGCUUAAGCCCCGUUCUUCGUAUGGGAAUUGGUUUAGUUCUCUCUGCUGCAGCGAUGGUACUUUCAGCGAUAACAGAAGGCAUAAGACGGGGCAUAGCAAUUGAUCAGAAAGUUCCACAAGACGUUCCAAAUAUAAACAUGUCGGCUAUGUGGUUUGUUCCACAGUACGUGCUUCUUGGACUAGCUGACGCUUUCAAUGCAAUCGGGUUGGUAGAGUUCCUUUACUCUGAACUUCCAAAAAGCAUGUCUAGUUUUGUUGUGGCUAUUUUCACACUUGGAAUGUCAGUAUCUGGCUUUUUUGGGAGUCUUUUAGUGAAUGUUGUGGAUAAUGUUACUUCAUAUGGAGGUGGUGUUAGCUGGUUGUCAAGUAAUAUUAACAAUGGUCAUUUAGAUUAUUACUACUGGUUACUUGCUUUUCUCAAUGUUGUAAACUUCCUAUAUUUUCUUCUCAUAAUUUGUCGAUGUAAUCGCCAUGAGCGCGAAUACAGUACUCAGAAAGCUUGAUGUAUAUGUACAUAUAUGUAUGAUAAGG